GGGCCCGUAGCCUAGUCCGGAUAGGGCGUCGGACUUCUAAUCCGAAGGUCCCGGGUUCAAAUCCCGGCGGGUCCG
RNAcentral lists this transfer RNA (75 nucleotides) under Methanobacteriaceae archaeon. RNAcentral's name for it is "tRNA-Arg". It matches the Rfam family "tRNA". Rfam says of the family: Transfer RNA (tRNA) molecules are approximately 80 nucleotides in length. The record is from RNAcentral. Lineage: Archaea; Methanobacteriati; Methanobacteriota; Methanobacteria; Methanobacteriales; Methanobacteriaceae.